This is a long non-coding RNA of Strongylocentrotus purpuratus (purple sea urchin), 776 nucleotides long. RefSeq lists it as uncharacterized. The record is from RefSeq and is a predicted model, not a curated record. The transcript is spliced from 3 exons. Lineage: Eukaryota; Metazoa; Echinodermata; Echinoidea; Camarodonta; Strongylocentrotidae.
UUUUGCAAGAUUAGGAUAAGCAUGGGAUUUUAACAUCUGGAUAAUAUGAAACUAAAUAUUUCAAAGUCCAUUUGUAUUUAUACCACCGUUACAAAUAGUCCACUGGAAGCACUUCAACAUUGAACAUCGCUGAUAAAGAAGCUGGUUAACUUUGCAUGCACGAUACCUGACCAUAGCUCUCUAAGUUUUCGAAUGCAGGAGACAGUAGCUCGGUUGUAGACACAACAUGGUGAAUUAAACUGUGCUAUCACGGAAUUUGUCAUCUGCCAGCAGCCAGGGUUUGCUUCUUAUGUGCCACGCAAGACUUCCAAAGAGAACAACAUGUCUAAGCAACUGAAGCAGCACUUUCCUUGGAUAAAGAAGAAUGGAAGCAGUACGAAUACGUACGGUAGCAUUAAUGGAUCUGACGACCAAAUCGACGUACAUCAACCAUUACUUCCCACAACCCAGGACUGGACCAAACAUGGACGUGACUGCCACCGCUGUGAAUCUGAUGCAGAUGUCGCAUGCGUGAUCAACGAAGCGGACGACGUGAAGACGGUGGAGGAUGUCCAGCAGAGUGUUGGACGAGGUGGUCGAGAUCAUGGUGGAAAACCUCAAUCGUAUUCUCGAGAGGGAUGAAAAGAUCGCGGAUUUGGAAAUAUGUGCAGAAAACAUUCGCCACAAAGCUAAAGAACUACGUCGCGUGAGUAAAAAGCUAUUGAGGAGAUACUAUUGGAGACGACACCGGUGCUCGAUACUCCUCGCAGUGUUUGUGUUUUUCUGCUUGACAGUUG